GACGUCAUGAUGGAGGAUCACCGGCCCCUCACAUCACCAGAGCCCCAUGGUCCAUAAAGCCAAGAUCGGCUCUUUCAUUUAUCACCGGUCCAACACCGAGGAUCGAUCCUGAUCAUAAACCUGCAAAUGUUAAGGAAGAGAGAACAACACCCGAGAGAUGUCCCAGUCCU
Molecule: long non-coding RNA, 170 nt
Organism: Bufo bufo (common toad)
Lineage: Eukaryota; Metazoa; Chordata; Amphibia; Anura; Bufonidae
Exons: 3
Source: RefSeq, a predicted model, not a curated record